Molecule: ribosomal RNA, 468 nt
Filed under: uncultured bacterium
Lineage: Bacteria
Description: partial 16S ribosomal RNA
Rfam family: Bacterial small subunit ribosomal RNA
Source: RNAcentral
GACGAACGCUGGCGGCGUGCUUAACACAUGCAAGUCGAACGGAAAGGCCCUGCUUUUGUGGGGUGCUCGAGUGGCGAACGGGUGAGUAACACGUGAGUAACCUGCCCUUGACUUUGGGAUAACUUCAGGAAACUGGGGCUAAUACCGGAUAGGAGCUCCUGCUGCAUGGUGGGGGUUGGAAAGUUUCGGCGGUUGGGGAUGGACUCGCGGCUUAUCAGCUUGUUGGUGGGGUAGUGGCUUACCAAGGCUUUGACGGGUAGCCGGCCUGAGAGGGUGACCGGCCACAUUGGGACUGGGAUACGGGCCAGGAUCCUACCGGAGGCAGCAGUGGGGAAUAUUGCACAAUGGGCGGAAGCCUGAUGCAGCAACGCCGCGUGCGGGAUGACGGCCUUCGGGUUGUAAACCGCUUUCGCCUGUGACGAAGCGUGAGUGACGGUAAUGGGUAAAGAAGCACCGGCUAACUACGUG